RNAcentral lists this ribosomal RNA (584 nucleotides) under uncultured beta proteobacterium. Its description in RNAcentral is "bacterial SSU rRNA". It matches the Rfam family "Bacterial small subunit ribosomal RNA", at positions 76 to 656 of the family's 1533-position model. Lineage: Bacteria; Pseudomonadati; Pseudomonadota; Betaproteobacteria. The record is from RNAcentral.
UAACAGGUUAAGCUGACGAGUGGCGAACGGGUGAGUAAUAUAUCGGAACGUGCCCAGUCGUGGGGGAUAACUGCUCGAAAGAGCAGCUAAUACCGCAUACGACCUGAGGGUGAAAGCGGGGGAUCGCAAGACCUCGCGCGAUUGGAGCGGCCGAUAUCAGAUUAGGUAGUUGGUGGGGUAAAGGCCCACCAAGCCAACGAUCUGUAGCUGGUCUGAGAGGACGACCAGCCACACUGGGACUGAGACACGGCCCAGACUCCUACGGGAGGCAGCAGUGGGGAAUUUUGGACAAUGGGCGCAAGCCUGAUCCAGCCAUGCCGCGUGCGGGAAGAAGGCCUUCGGGUUGUAAACCGCUUUUGUCAGGGAAGAAAAGGUUCUGGUUAAUACCUGGGACUCAUGACGGUACCUGAAGAAUAAGCACCGGCUAACUACGUGCCAGCAGCCGCGGUAAUACGUAGGGUGCAAGCGUUAAUCGGAAUUACUGGGCGUAAAGCGUGCGCAGGCGGUUAUGCAAGACAGAGGUGAAAUCCCCGGGCUCAACCUGGGAACUGCCUUUGUGACUGCAUGGCUAGAGUACGGUAGAG